Macrobrachium nipponense is the source of this 265-nucleotide long non-coding RNA. RefSeq lists it as uncharacterized. NCBI's taxonomy places the organism in Eukaryota, Metazoa, Arthropoda, Malacostraca, Decapoda, Palaemonidae. The record is from RefSeq and is a predicted model, not a curated record. The transcript has 2 exons.
UGGUCUUUAUCUAUAUGACAAGGGUGUUUGAUGAAUAUCUAUAAUUUUUAUUGAUUUUUUUUUAUUUCAGGAUUCUCCUUCUGGCCAGUGUGAGGCUAAGCGAGAGAAAUGCCCAGCAAAGAUCAUAUUGAAGGAAGUAAUCAAGUUCCCACAUUAUAAGAUUGAAUCUAAUACCAAUUAUGAAAAGAAGAAAUGGUCAAAGUUGGUAAGAGAUGACCUCUGUAAAGGAACUGCAAAAACAGAACGCCGUAUAUAUGUAGAAUUA